GAUGAACGCUGGCGGCGUGCCUAAUACAUGCAAGUCGAGCGAACGGACGAGAAGCUUGCUUCUCUGAUGUUAGCGGCGGACGGGUGAGUAACACGUGGAUAACCUACCUAUAAGACUGGGAUAACUUCUGGAAACCGUAGCUAAUACCGGAUAAUAUUUUGAACCGCAUGGUUCAAAAGUGAAAGACGGUCUUGCUUUCACUUAUAGAUGGAUCCGCGCUGCAUUUGCUAGUUGGUAAGGUAACGGCUUACCAAGGCAACGAUGCAUAGCCGACCUGAGAGGGUGAUCGGCCACACUGGAACUGAGACACGGACCAGACUCCUACGGGAGGCAGCAGUAGGGAAUCUUCCGCAAUGGGCGAAAGCCUGACGGAGCAACGCCGCGUGAGUGAUGAAGGUCUUCGGAUCGUAAAACUCUGUUAUUAGGGAAGAACAUAUGUGUAAGUAACUGUGCACAUCUUGACGGUACCUAAUCAGAAAGCCACGGCUAACUACGUG
Molecule: ribosomal RNA, 497 nt
Filed under: uncultured bacterium
Lineage: Bacteria
Description: partial 16S ribosomal RNA
Rfam family: Bacterial small subunit ribosomal RNA
Source: RNAcentral